This is a non-coding RNA of Gymnopus androsaceus JB14, 97 nucleotides long. NCBI's taxonomy places the organism in Eukaryota, Fungi, Basidiomycota, Agaricomycetes, Agaricales, Omphalotaceae. The record is from the annotation of a GenBank genome assembly.
UCCCUGGUAGUAUAUCGGUUAGUACACGCGCCUGUCAUAACAUCUGAUUUGCUCAGGGUAUGCGCGCGAAAGCUGGGUUCGACUCCCAGCCAGGGAG